This 1079-nucleotide small RNA is filed under the name Bos taurus (domestic cattle). RNAcentral describes it as "ribosomal protein S27, transcript variant 3". Lineage: Eukaryota; Metazoa; Chordata; Mammalia; Artiodactyla; Bovidae. The record is from RNAcentral.
GAUCAGGAUUUCCGCUUCCGCCCCUUUCCGGCGGUGACGACCUCCUCACGAGAACAUGCCUCUCGCAAAGGAUCUUCUUCAUCCCUCUCCAGAAGAGGAGAAGAGGAAACACAAGAAGAAGCGCCUGGUGCAGAGCCCCAAUUCCUAUUUCAUGGAUGUAAAAUGCCCAGGAUGCUAUAAAAUCACCACCGUCUUUAGCCAUGCACAAACAGUAGUCUUGUGUGUUGGCUGCUCUACUGUCCUCUGCCAGCCUACAGGAGGAAAAGCGAGGCUUACAGAAGGAUGCUCUUUCAGACGGAAGCAGCACUAAAAGUACCCUGUAUCAAGAUGAACGGGAAACCAUCCCAAUAAACACGUUUUGGAUACAUCCUGUUUACUGUCUUGUUUUACUUCUAGGAGGUUCCUACCUCACGUAUUCAGGGGCAACCAGAAGAGUGGAUUCUAGAGUCAUUUGGGGCAAUUUGUGAAAUGAAGGCAGUUUCCAAGUCUAAAUUCUACGGUGCUGAAUAUAAGGACUCCUUACCUAGAAAGAGGAAAGCUGUUGAUGCCAGCAUCACAAAGAGGGUAAAAAGGAGACUCUGGUAAGAACCUGCAAACUUCUGGAGAACACCUGAACCGUCACAUUGAUCUACGCGUUGGCAGAAUAAAAGAAGAUAGUUUUUUUAAUAUAUACAGGACAGAUGUUGCAUUUAAAAAUUGUAUGCUUCUGAGAUAUCUAGCUGAAGCACUCAAAACUUAGCCCUCUAGGAAAUUCUUUUUGUUUCUUACCAGAGAAAAAGGGGUGAACUGUACUUGGUGCCUCUACCUUUUUGGCUUUUUAUCACUAACAUAAUAAACUACAAUUCUUAAGCCUUUUCAGCUUCCAAAAGAAUGUUUAAAUUCUCUGCCACUGUAAAAUGCCUGUUAUCUCUCCUGUGUACUUUAACUCCAAGUGACAUCCUUCAACUUGUAAUCCCUCUAACCUGAAACAAUGACCCAGGAGCCACUUGUCCUUUUUUAUUCAGCUAUCAUUUCUAGGGAACAUGAUUUGUAUAUAAAUUUGUCCUCAAUAAAAGUUAAGACAUGUCUUUUGAAGCAUA